UACGGAGGGUGCAAACGUUGCUCGGAAUCAUUGGGCGUAAAGCGCACGUAGGCGGCCUGUUAAGUCGGAUGUGAAAGCCCCGGGCUCAACUCGGGAAGUGCAUUCGAAACUGAUAGGCUUGAAUAUGGAAGAGGGUCGCGGAAUUCCCGGUGUAGAGGUGAAAUUCGUAGAUAUCGGGAGGAACACCAGUGGCGAAGGCGGCGACCUGGGCCAAUAUUGACGCUGAGGUGCGAAAGCGUGGGGAGCAAACAGG
RNAcentral lists this ribosomal RNA (253 nucleotides) under uncultured bacterium. RNAcentral's name for it is "partial 16S ribosomal RNA". It matches the Rfam family "Bacterial small subunit ribosomal RNA", at positions 524 to 776 of the family's 1533-position model. The record is from RNAcentral.